AGGGGCGUCGCCAAGCGGUAAGGCACCAGGUUUUUGAUCCUGGCAUGCGUUGGUUCGAAUCCAGCCGCCCCUGCCA
Molecule: transfer RNA, 76 nt
Filed under: Stutzerimonas stutzeri RCH2
Lineage: Bacteria; Pseudomonadati; Pseudomonadota; Gammaproteobacteria; Pseudomonadales; Pseudomonadaceae
Description: tRNA-Lys (TTT) (tRNA-Lys-TTT-2-1)
Rfam family: tRNA
About the family: Transfer RNA (tRNA) molecules are approximately 80 nucleotides in length. Their secondary structure includes four short double-helical elements and three loops (D, anti-codon, and T loops).
Source: RNAcentral